GGGUUUAGCUCAGUGGUUGGAGCACCCGUCAAUUGUACGGAAGGUCGUUGGUUCGAUUCCAGCGACCUA
Molecule: transfer RNA, 69 nt
Filed under: Pristionchus pacificus
Lineage: Eukaryota; Metazoa; Nematoda; Chromadorea; Rhabditida; Neodiplogasteridae
Source: Rfam by way of RNAcentral